AAAGAUUAAGCCAUGCAUGUAUAAGCACAAGCCGAAUUAUGGUGAAGCCGCGAAUAGCUCAUUACAACAGUCGUAGUUUAUUAGAAAGUACCUAAUGGAUAACUGUGGUAAUUCUAGAGCUAAUACAUGUUCCAAUCCCCGACUUUCGAAGGGGUGCAUUUAUUAGACCAAAGCCAAUCAGACUUUGUCUGUCUCAGGUUGACUCUGAAUAACUUUGCUGAUCGCACAGUCUUUGUACUGGCGACGUAUCUUUCAAGUGUCUGCCUUAUCAACUGUUGAUGGUAGAUUAUGCGCCUACCAUGGUUGUAACGGGUAACGGAGAAUCAGGGUUUGAUUCCGGAGAGGGAGCCUGAGAAACAGCUACCACAUCCAAGG
This 375-nucleotide ribosomal RNA is filed under the name Halalaimus sp. 88L18E15. Its description in RNAcentral is "bacterial SSU rRNA". It matches the Rfam family "Eukaryotic small subunit ribosomal RNA", at positions 39 to 421 of the family's 1831-position model. Lineage: Eukaryota; Metazoa; Nematoda; Enoplea; Enoplida; Oxystominidae. The record is from RNAcentral.